CGCGGCCAUUACACAGACGGUGCUCCUCGCCGCCCGCGGGCUUCUGGGAGGGAAAAGACCGUGAAGGCCCUGGUCUUCCAGCCAGGACCCAAUGGACACCUCGAUCAGCCGACCUGGGAUGACCGCCAACAGCUCCUGCAGACUCUCCUCACCACGGAGGAGCGACACCGCGUCUACCUCGAAGCUCGGAAAAACGUCCCGGGGGCGGAUGGGAGGCGACCCGGCUGCCUAAGGAAAUUGAGGAUGUUUUCCCCUUGGUUCGCCCGACCUGGGACUACGACACUGUUGCUGGUAGGGAGCGGCUCCGUCUCUAUCGCCAGGUACUCCUAGCGGGUCUCAAAGGGGCAGGGCGUCGCCCCACCAAUUUGGCAAAGGUAUGUGCUAUAGGGCAGGGAAAAGAUGAGACGCCGGCAGGUUUUCUGCAGAGGUUAAUAGAAGGCUAUACUGGCCACCGUAGUACAGGGCUCAGGGCAGAGUAAGUCAGGACAGAGUAGGGACCUGGGAGACAAAAGAGGACCACGGGUUGAACGAGACCAGUGUGCCUACUGCAAGGAAAAAGGACAUUGGGUUAAAGAUUGCCCAAGGAAGGGCCAAACGCAGGGACCUAAAAAGAAGCCCAUUCCUGUUUUGUCCCUAGAAGAUGAAGAUUAGGGGUGUCAGGGCCAUGAACCCCCCCCCGAGCCUCGGAUAACCCUUAAAGUGGGGGGACAGCCGGUGACCUUCCUGGUCGAUACGGGGGCUCAACAUUCAGUUUUAACUGAGGCAAAAGGACCCUUGAGCUCUAAAACGUCUUGGGUUCAGGGGGCAACUGGAGGCAAGUUAUAUCGAUGGACAACCGAACGGAAGGUCCACCUGAGCACUGGGCAAGUAACGCAUUCCUUCUUAGUGGUCCCAGACUGCCCUUACCCUCUCCUAGGCAGAGACCUUCAUUCAAAAGUAGGGGCCCAGAUACAUUUUCAGCAAAAAGGGGCCACUAUUACUGGCGCAGAAGGGCAGCCCCUCCAGGUACUGACCUUGGCGCCUAGAGGAUGAACACCGGCUGCACGAGGACUCUCCACGUCCGUGCAGCCCCUAGAUUCUGAAUGGCUCACUAACUACCCUCAGGCCUGGGUGGAAACGGCCGGAAUGGGACUAGCUGUAAACCAGCCACCCAUAAUUAUAAACUUAAAACCCUCAGCCACCCCCAUAUCGAUCCGGCAAUAUUCAAUGAGCAAAGAGGCCAAAGAAGGCAUUCGGCCCCAUAUACAGAGACUAUUACAAUUGGGCAUUUUUAUACCUUGCCAGUCGCCCUGGAAUACUCCUCUAUUACCCGUAAAAAAAACCCGGCACAGGAGAUUACCGGCCGGUACAAGAUUUACGAGAGGUUAACUGGAGGACAGAGGACAUACAUCCCACGGUGCCGAAUCCCUACAACUUGCUCAGCACCUUACCCCCAAGCCAUGUCUGGUAUACGGUGUUAGAUCUAAAAGAUGCAUUCUUUCGCCUAAGGUUAAGCUCUCAAAGCCAGCCUAUUUUUGCCUUUGAAUGGAAAGAUCCUGAGACGGGAUUCUCAGGACAACUCACUUGGACAAGGCUGCCACAGGGAUUCAAAAAUUCCCCCACUUUGUUCGUGAAGCCUUGCAUGGGGAUUUGGCAGAUUUCCGAGUUGGCCAUCCGGACCUCGUCCUCCUGCAGUACGUGGAUGAUUUGCUCCUGGCGGCUAGGACAGAACAGGAUUGUGUAAAAGGUACGGGGGCCCUGCUUGAGAGACUGGGAGAACUGGGGUAUAGGGCCUCCGCCAAAAAGGCCCAAAUAGGCCAGAGACAAGUGACCUAUCUGGGAUAUCUCCUGGAAGGAGGCCAGAGGUGGCUGACGGAGAGCCGCAAAAAGGCUGUAGCCCUGAUCCCAGCACCCACUAAUGCCAAAGGACUACGAGAGUUCCUCGGCAGUGCUGGGUUCUGCCGCCUCUGGAUACCCGGGUUUGCGGAGAUGGCGGCUCCCCUAUAUCCUCUCACGAAAUCCAACACCCCCUACCACUGGGGAAAGGAGCAGCAACUGGCUUUUGACAAAAUAAAAAGGGCCUUAUUGACCGCCCCUGCCCUGAACCUCCCAGAUGUAACCAAGCCUUUUACGCUAUAUGUUGAUGAACAUAAUGGAAUAGCCAAAGGGGUCCUAACUCAAAAACUGGGACCCUGGAAAAGGCCCGUGGCAUACUUUUCAAAAAAAAUUAGACAGCGUGGCUGCAGGAUGGCCCCCAUGUCUCCGAAUAAUAGCGGCUGUGGCAGUCCUGGUAAAAGACUCAGACAAGUUGACUUUUGGCCAACCCCUCACUGUGGUGGCCCCCCACGCCGUAGAGACAGUCAUCCGCCAGCCCCCUGAUCGAUGGCUCUCAAACGCCCGGGUCACCCAUUAUCAGGCCAUGUUACUGAAUUCUGAGUGGAUACAGUUUGGAACGGCUACAUCUCUAAACCCGGCCACCUUGCUUCCAGAAACCGAGUCCCCCUCCCUAGUAAUGCAUGAUUGCCACCAGAUCCUAGCUGAAGUCCAUGGCACCAGAGGGGACUUGACGGACCAGCCUUUGCCAGAUGCUGAAGCAACCUGGUACACCGAUGGGAGUAGCUUUCUACGAAAUGGUAACCGACGCUUGUGUACCUUGUGCUAAGGUAAAUACCAAACACCUCAAGAUGCCUGAGGGAACCAGGAUGAGGGGAGAAAGACCCGGAACUAAUUGGGAAGUAGACUUCACCGAAAUCAAGCCAGGUAAAUAUGGUAACAAGUACCUCCUAGUGUUUAUAGAUACCUUUUCAGGCUGGACAGAAGCAUUCCCCACCAAGCGAGAAACCGCCCAGGUGGUUGUCAAGAAAAUCCUGGAAGAAAUUUUCCCGCUGUUUGGACUGCCCAAGGUAAUAGUGUCGGACAACGGCCCUGCCUUCGUCUCCCAGGUAAGUCAGUUGGUGGCCAAAUUACUGGGGAUAAAUUGGAAAUGACAUUGUGCAUACAGACCCCAGAGCUCAGGUCAGGUAGAAAGAAUGAAUAGAACAAUUAAAGAGACCCUAACUAAAUUGACAUUGGAGACUGGCACUAGAGACUGGGUCCAACUCCUCCCUAUGGUUCUGUUCCGAGUCCGGAACACUCCCGCGCGCCAUGGGCUAACUCCUUACGAGGUUCUCUAUGGAGGUCCCCCGCCAGUAACGGACUUACUAGAUUCUGCUCUUGACCCUCUUGCUAACACUCCCGGUUUACAGGACAGGCUAAAGGCGCUCCAGAUUAUCCAGCACCAGAUCUGGAAACCCCUUGCGGCUGUCUACCGCCCCGAGACACAACCGGCCCACACCCGUUCCAGACCGGUGACUCCGUCUACGUCAAGAGACAUCAGUCCAGGACGCUUGAGCCCCGCUGCAAGGGCCCAUAUACUGUCCUACUGACCACCCCAACCGCCUUAAAGGUAGACGGCAUUGCUGCUUGGGUCCACGCCUCACACGUCCAGCGCGCCCCAUCAACGAGCACCGCUGACGCCAGCCAGGACGGACCGGACAAGCCACUCCAAUGGAAGCUCCACCGCACCCAAAACCCGCUCAAGAUAAGACUUUCAAAAAUUGUUCAAUGACAGUUGUUAUAUUCCUACCUCUCCUAGCGCUCUUCACCUCCGCCAAAGGUGACCCUCAUGCCCUCAAAAGGUUAACCUGGCAGGUACUAACGUCUGGGGGUGACGAGGUCUGGUCUAUAACUAAGACCGCCCCGUGGGAACCUGGUGGCCUAACCUAUAUCCUGACCUAUGCAAGCUAACCAUAGGGGCCCCUAGCCCAUGGGACCUAGAGGGAUACUUCGACACCUCUAGAGCCCCUAACCAAGAAAGCCCUCCAGGGCGACUGGGAUUAGACCCAUGGGGAGGAUGUGGCACGCCUGAUAGAAGGGCCAUGCUAAGCCCUCUUCCCUUUUAUGUCUGUCCCGGGCACCACAGAGAUCGCAGGCUAAAUCCCACCUGUGGAGGAGGGGAAUACUUCUAUUGUAAAAAUUGGGGGUGCGAAACUACGGGGGAUACAGAAUGGAGGCCCUCCUCCUCCUGGGAUUAUAUCACUGUCAAGGCUAACUAUACUCACCCGACAUUUAGCAAAUGGAAAACCCUUAAUUAUGGGCCCUGCCAAGGGUGGUGUCAUCCCCUAUGGAUAUCCUUCACGGAGCCCGGAAAAAGGGCUACUUACUGGGCCAAUGGAUAUACGUGGGGACUCAGGUUAUACAAAGAAAGAACAGAUGAUGGUUUUAUAUUCGGAAUUAAACUAAAAUAGAAUCCCCAGACCCCGUGGCGAUCGGGCCUAACGUGGUCCUCGGGGAACAAAGAGCUGCCCCGGCCCUAGCCGCAGGGAGCGCCACACCCACUAACUUCGCGGUCACUCCAACCCCUCGGUCGUCACCCGAGACGGGACAACGACUGUUUAAUCUUAUCAUAGGGGCAUUCCUGGCCCCUAAUCGAACCAGCCCCGAUGUAACUAAAUCCUGCUGGCUCUGCCUUGCAUCCCCCCCCCCCUUAUUAUGAGGGAAUUGCUACUUCAGGGACCUAUAAUAACAUCACUAGCACCCAGGGAUGCACACCCGACUCCCAACCACAAUUCACCCUUACAGAAGUUACAGGACAGGGAACCUGCAUAGGAACACCCCCCCGGGGCUACCAGAGACUCUGCAACACUACCACCCCGAUUUUGGGGACUGAUUCUUACCUGGAGCCCCAGCCGGGAACUUGGUGGGCAUGCAACAAAGGCCUCACCCCCUGUGUGUCGGCUAAGGUUCUAAAUAGCUCAAACGACUUCUGUGUCAUGGUGCAGAUCAUACCCAGGGUGUUCUAUCACCCUGCUGAAACUCUAGAAAAUCAGUAUGAUAAACAUCCCACCCGUUUUCGGCACGAACCUGUCUCCCUAACCUUAGCCGUUAUGUUGGGACUAGGGGUCGCUACUGGGGUGGGUACUGGCGCAGCUGCUCCGAUCCAGGGCUCACGGCGUUAUCUAGAACUCCAAACAGCUGUAGAUGAGGAUCUACGGACACUAGAGCAGUCCGUUUCUAAGCUAGAACAGUCCCUCACCUCACUUUCAGAAGUAGCACUUCAAAACAGGAGAGGCUUGGAUUGACUAUUCCUGAAAGAGGGAGGACUGUGUGCGGCGCUGGGAGAGGAAUGCUGUUUCUAUGCAGACCAUUCUGGAGUCAUCAGACUCCAUGGCCAAACUCAGGGAAAGGUUAAAUAAAAGACAAAGGGACCGGGAGGCCCAGCAGGGCUGGUUUGAAAGCUGGUUUAAUCAGUCUCCCUGGUUGACCACCCUAAUCUCUACCAUUAUGGGCCCUCUAGUUAUCCUGCUCCUGCUGCUAACUUUCGGCCCCUGCGUCCUCAACCGGCUGCUCCAGUUCAUCCGAGAAAGAUUGUCUAUUACCCAAGCUCUGGUAUUAACUCAGCAAUGUCGGGCCCUCCAAACUGAAGAAAUAAAUGUUCCCUAAGAUUUUAAGGUUAAAAUCAGCCCAAACAAGAGGAGGGAAUGAAGAAACCUCCCCCCUUGUAAGUAGGGCCAGCCCUAACCCAGAGGCAGCCCAUCCAGGCGCCUUCCUGAAAUUUUAGCAACUAAAAGCAUUCUGUUGACAAUAAGAAAACCAUUUCCCCCCACACCCUGAUUGGAAUGUCCUUGAAUAGGUUCAUGUUGACCCUCUGUGAAAUCAACCUGGAUGCUAUGCGACUCCUGCGGUUCUUUUGCCUUUAGGCGGUUUCUUUCCUUUUGCCUUUACAAGAUCCCUGUAAUUGCUAAUCAGGGCUCUUUUCCUCCUCGGAGUCGGAGAGCCCGUUUGCGCAAAAGUUCA
Nyctereutes procyonoides (raccoon dog) is the source of this 5814-nucleotide RNA transcript. RefSeq lists it as uncharacterized. NCBI's taxonomy places the organism in Eukaryota, Metazoa, Chordata, Mammalia, Carnivora, Canidae. The record is from RefSeq and is a predicted model, not a curated record. The transcript is spliced from 3 exons.